This 239-nucleotide ribosomal RNA is filed under the name uncultured Glomeromycotina. RNAcentral describes it as "partial 18S ribosomal RNA". It matches the Rfam family "Eukaryotic small subunit ribosomal RNA", at positions 636 to 884 of the family's 1831-position model. Lineage: Eukaryota; Fungi; Glomeromycota. The record is from RNAcentral.
GGAUCUAGAUAGGUUGGUCAUGCCUCAGGUAUGUACUGAUCUCACUGAUUCCUCCUUCCUGACAGAACCGUAAUGCCAUUAAUUUGGUGUUGCGGGGAGACUGGACUGUUACUUUGAAAAAAUUAGAGUGUUUAAAGCAGGCUAACGCUUGAAUACAUUAGCAUGGAAUAAUGAAAUAGGACGUUCGAUCCUAUUUUGUUGGUUUCUAGGAUUGACGUAAUGAUUACACGGAUAGUUGG